CCGGGGGCUGCAGUGAGGAAUAUUGGUCAAUGGGCGAGAGCCUGAACCAGCCAAGUCGCGUGAGGGAGUACUGCCCUAUGGGUUGUAAACCUCUUUUGUCGGGGAGCAAAAGCCGGACGUGUCCGGCUGUGAGAGUACCCGAAGAAAAAGCAUCGGCUAACUCCGUGCCAGCAGCCGCGGUAAUACGGUGGAUGCGAGCGUUAUCCGGAUUUAUUGGGUUUAAAGGGUGCGCAGGCGGAGGCACAAGUCAGCGGUAAAAUCGCGGGGCUCAACCCCGCUCCGCCGUUGAAACUGUGUCCCUUGAGUGCGCGAAGGGUAGGCGGAAUGCGUGGUGUAGCGGUGAAAUGCAUAGAUAUCACGCAGAACUCCGAUCGCGAAGGCAGCCUACCGGCGCGCAACUGACGCUCAUGCACGAAAGCGUGGGUAUCGAACAGGAUUAGAUACCCGGGUAGUC
This 454-nucleotide ribosomal RNA is filed under the name uncultured bacterium. Its description in RNAcentral is "partial 16S ribosomal RNA". It matches the Rfam family "Bacterial small subunit ribosomal RNA", at positions 342 to 795 of the family's 1533-position model. The record is from RNAcentral.